This 253-nucleotide ribosomal RNA is filed under the name uncultured bacterium. Its description in RNAcentral is "partial 16S ribosomal RNA". It matches the Rfam family "Bacterial small subunit ribosomal RNA", at positions 524 to 776 of the family's 1533-position model. The record is from RNAcentral.
UACAGAGGUGGCAAGCGUUGUUCGGAAUUACUGGGCGUAAAGGGCGCGUAGGCGGCCUCGCAAGUCCCGUGUGAAAUCCCUCGGCUCAACUGAGGAAUGGCACGGGAAACUGCGGGGCUUGAGUUCGGGAGAGGGAAGCGGAAUUCCGGGUGUAGCGGUGAAAUGCGUAGAUAUUGGGAGGAACACCAGUGGCGAAGGCGGCUACCUGGACCGGUUCUGACGCUGAGGCGCGAAAGCUAGGGGAGCAAACGGG